GGUUAUAGCUCAAGUGGUAGAGAGCAUGCUUAGCAUGCAUGAGGUCCUGGGUUCAAUCCCCAGUACCUCCA
This 71-nucleotide transfer RNA is filed under the name Camelus bactrianus (Bactrian camel). It matches the Rfam family "tRNA". Rfam says of the family: Transfer RNA (tRNA) molecules are approximately 80 nucleotides in length. Their secondary structure includes four short double-helical elements and three loops (D, anti-codon, and T loops). RNAcentral also lists the same sequence under 1 other name. Lineage: Eukaryota; Metazoa; Chordata; Mammalia; Artiodactyla; Camelidae. The record is from Rfam by way of RNAcentral.